AUUGAACGCUGGCGGCAGGCUUAACACAUGCAAGUCGAACGAGUGGCGGACUGGUGAGUAAUGCUUUGGAAUCUGGCUUAUGGAGGGGGAUAACGACGGGAAACUGUCGCUAAUACCGCCUACCCUCGGAUGUGCCCAGGUGGGAUUAGGUAGGUGGUGGGGUAAUGGCCUACCAAGGCGACGAUCCCUAGCUGGUCUGAGAGGAUGACCAGCCACACUGGAACGGAGACACGGCCCAGACUCCUACGGGAGGCAGCAGUGGGGAAUAUUGCGCAAUGGGGGCAAGCCUGAUGCAGCCAUGCCGCGUGAAUGAAGAAGGCCUUCGGGUUGUAAAGUUCUUUCAGUGAGGAGGCGUUAACCACAGAAGAAGCACCGGCUAACUCCGUGCCAGCAGCCGCGGUAAUUC
RNAcentral lists this ribosomal RNA (406 nucleotides) under uncultured bacterium. RNAcentral describes it as "partial 16S ribosomal RNA". It matches the Rfam family "Bacterial small subunit ribosomal RNA", at positions 30 to 526 of the family's 1533-position model. The record is from RNAcentral.